RNAcentral lists this long non-coding RNA (199 nucleotides) under Elaeis guineensis (African oil palm). RNAcentral's name for it is "long non-coding RNA (EGUI_LNC077590)". The record is from RNAcentral. Lineage: Eukaryota; Viridiplantae; Streptophyta; Magnoliopsida; Arecales; Arecaceae.
CCGACUCGAACUUGGUAUCCGCCUGAGACCGACGGUGCCAUCGUCGAUGAUACAUCAGACUCUUACAAAGAUCGAUAUAUCUACAUGGACGGGAGUCACACUCCUCCGACAGUCGACGAAACAUCGGACCCUUACAAGGACCGAUAUAUCUAUAUUGACAGGAGUUGACACUCCUUCUACGGUCAUACUUUUGGGUCAG